This is a non-coding RNA of Malus domestica (apple), 1493 nucleotides long. The record is from RefSeq and is a predicted model, not a curated record. Lineage: Eukaryota; Viridiplantae; Streptophyta; Magnoliopsida; Rosales; Rosaceae.
UUUGCCUUCACUAGCAUUCUUUGGACUGGACUAGACUAAAUAAUAGUCCAGUCUGAUGUUUGUUAUUUACACGGACAAACGUUAAUGAGACUAAAGGGGACUCGCCCCGACUGAACGCCUCGCUAGCCGUUCUUAGCGAGAGCCCUCGAUUUCGAGCAGACUCCUAGUCCCGUCCUCCCUCGCAGCUGAUCCAUCCGUCUUCUUCUCCUUCGCACCUUUGCCAUCUCCCAUCUCUUUCACGACUUCGCCGUCUCAUCCGAGUUCGAGCAGGACGAGGAGGUUCUCAGCGACGACGGAGAGGCCUCUUUUGACCUCAAACUCUUCGUGGGUAACCUUCCCUUCAGCGUCGAUAGCGCUCAGCUUGCUAGUAUCUUUGAGAGCGUUGGAAAUGUCCAGAUGGUCAAGGUGAUAUAUGAUAAGACGACCGCAAGAAGUAGAGGAUUUGGGUUUGUGGCUAUGUCAAGUGUUCAAGAAGUUGAAUCUGCUGCUCGCCAGCUAAACGACUACGUAAGUCUGACCAUUUGCUGAUAUUUUCUUAUAUAUGCGAAAGUUUGUGAUUUGCGAAUUGGUACUUUAUUUGUAAUCGUAUUUAUACGAACGGGAAUCUAUUUUGAGAGAAAAUGGAAAUUUUGUGACAUUUUCUGCCCUGCAACUUCCAUGGCUGCGUGAGCUUAAGUAGGAAUUAAGUAGGAAUAGAGAACACAGUAAGAAGUCAAGUGGUAACUUGAUUCCUGGAAAGCAAUAUGUCAGUGUAAGAACACAGGCUCUAGUGACCAUUCUAUCCUAGUUGGCGAGAAAUGGUUUUGCUCCUACCGACAAUGUGGUCGUGUCUCUGGCAAAAUCAAUAAUUGAACCACAUGUUACCAAAGAGGAAGACAUAGUGGGUUGCUCAUUUCUGUUGAAUAUGUUGGAUGCUGUGAGUGGGGUUGAAGUGAUAGAGGAGCAGCUUAGAACAAGGAAGGAUUACCAAGAAGUUUCUAGCAUCAUGAAUGUGGGGAUGACAUAUAGCUUGUUGUAUAGUUCAGCAUUUGAGUGUGAAGAUCCUACGCAAAGGAGGGAGCUGCUACUAAGGAAGUUCAAAGAAAAACACACAGGUGAAAUAGGCAAAUUUGACAAGGUGCAGUCUACCUUUUGGAGGGAAUGGAAAUUAAAAUUAGAAGACCAAAAGCGUUUGCAGAUCGUUGUACAGCAUUAGAGAAAAUAAUCCCUGGUGUUGACACAGUACGCUUUUAGUCUUAGGACUUUGAUUAUAUUAAGAGUGUUGUGCGUCCCUUGAUUGAUUCAGUCAAGUUAGAGAAUAAGCACAUUUUGAAGGAUGUUUUAACAUUAGCUGAUGAAUACAACUUGAACCGUUCACAGGUAGGCAGCUUUGUAGGCUUACAUCUCUGAAUUCUAUAACAUAGAGAUGGCUUUUUCCCCCAUUGAGUGAUAGUGAUCUAUUGUUUCCUUGCAGAUCUUUUUGUGUUAUUUGAGUUCUGUCCUUGUUUCUGAGG